Nelumbo nucifera (sacred lotus) is the source of this 769-nucleotide long non-coding RNA. RefSeq lists it as uncharacterized. Lineage: Eukaryota; Viridiplantae; Streptophyta; Magnoliopsida; Proteales; Nelumbonaceae. The record is from RefSeq and is a predicted model, not a curated record.
GGAUUCGUGCAGUGCUCGCUCCUUUCCGGAAAAUGGAAGCCUGCCUGCGUUGCUAAACCCUCUUCUCCUCCUCACAAAUGACAAAACCACAGAAGACACAACGGAAUAGAGCCGGUCUCAGACCCACCCAACACACCAAAACAGUAGAGCUAUGACUUAUGAAUGUGGGUUUGUUUCUUCCGUCUUCUUGGCGCGUGAAUCUCUGAGAGAAGCCAAAUCUUGACUGAAGAAGGCCUGAGAAGUCCUUUUUUUUCUCCGUCUCUGUCUGUCUGUCUUUCUUUAAAGAAGAAAGCUGGGUUCGAGAAUGUUUCCUGGAACUCGAACUCGGGCUUUUGUUGAACAUGCCUUCGUCAUCUCCUUCACCAGGUCCUCUCUUGCUGCUCUUCACAAUGAAGGGCAGCUCCCAGAAAGUUGGUUUGUGUCACAAAGGUUCAGAGAUUAUGGUCAUUCGUGCUUUGAGGGUUUUUUGUUCCAUCAACAUUAUGCAUGAAGUAGUAUCAUACCCAUUUUAGUACUAUGGGAUUAUAUGAACUGGUAACUACAUCAUGUUUGAGGGAAUGAAGCCACCGGUCCGCUUAGCAUAUAAAUGUUUGUAUCAUCCAUAACAAUUCCAGUAAUGAAUUUGGUUAUUUUGAAAUUCUUUUCAUCGUUACUGCAGUGAGGCAACUUUUUUUCUUGUUUGUCCGUUUCUUUAUACCUGUAUCUGCUAACAUACUCGAAAUGUUCUGUAUAUUAACGUGAUCCCAGUGAGCAUUACUCUUUUCCCCUA